GCGGGUGUGGUUCAAUGGCAGAAUGCGAGCUUCCCAAGCUUGAGACGAGGGUUCGAUUCCCUUCACCCGCUCCA
Molecule: transfer RNA, 74 nt
Filed under: Deltaproteobacteria bacterium RIFCSPLOWO2_02_FULL_46_8
Lineage: Bacteria; Deltaproteobacteria
Also listed under: 1 other name
Description: tRNA-Gly
Rfam family: tRNA
About the family: Transfer RNA (tRNA) molecules are approximately 80 nucleotides in length. Their secondary structure includes four short double-helical elements and three loops (D, anti-codon, and T loops).
Source: RNAcentral